RNAcentral lists this ribosomal RNA (253 nucleotides) under uncultured bacterium. RNAcentral's name for it is "partial 16S ribosomal RNA". It matches the Rfam family "Bacterial small subunit ribosomal RNA", at positions 524 to 776 of the family's 1533-position model. The record is from RNAcentral.
CACGUAGGGCGCAAGCGUUGUCCGGAAUUAUUGGGCGUAAAGAGCUCGUAGGCGGUCUGUUACGUCUGCUGUGAAAACCCUGGGCUUAACCCUGGGCUUACAGUGGAUACGGGCAGACUAGAGGCAGGUAGGGGAGAAUGGAAUUCCCGGUGUAGCGGUGAAAUGCGCAGAUAUCAGGAGGAACACCUAUGGCGAAGGCAGCUCGCUGGGACGUGACUGACGCUGAGACGCGAAAGCGUGGGGAGCAAACAGG